RNAcentral lists this long non-coding RNA (208 nucleotides) under Mytilus galloprovincialis (Mediterranean mussel). The record is from RNAcentral. Lineage: Eukaryota; Metazoa; Mollusca; Bivalvia; Mytilida; Mytilidae.
GGCGUGCUGACAACCAGUGUACUCUGUUAUCACUAACUGUUGAGUAAUUACAGGCAGUUACCUCUACACAGGUGUUUAAUAAUGAUAAUACACGUAAAAUUACCGGAUAUAUCAGUCAAUUCGUGAUUACAUUCAAAAUCGGUUUUUGUAGUAUAUAUCUAAGUAUGUUCUAUAAUUGAGAACCACAAGUUACUGCAGUGAAUCCCCU